CGCCUCUUGCCAAUAACCAUGUAUAAGAGGUCCAGCCUGCCCAGUGACUAUAUGUUCAACGGCCGCGGUAUUCUGACCGUGCAAAGGUAGCGUAAUCACUUGUCUUUUAAAUAAAGACUGGUAUGAACGGCACCACGAAGGUUCAACUGUCUCCUGCAUCCAAUCCAUUAAACUGACCUCCCCGUGCAGAGGCGGGGAUAUAACCAUAAGACGAGAAGACCCUAUGGAGCUUUAAACUAAAGGCAACUGCCAAACCAUCAAACCCACAAGGAUAAACAAUAAAACAAGCAGAAAUUGACCUAAAGUUUUCGGUUGGGGCGACCAUGGAGAAUAAAAAAUCCUCCUUGAAGAAUAGGGCUUACAACCCUUAACCAAGAACCACUAUUCUAAGUAACAAAAUUUAUGACUGCAAUUGAUCCAGUCCUACUGAUCAACGAACCAAGUUACCCUAGGGAUAACAGCGCAAUCCAUUUCAAAAGUUCCUAUCGACAAAUGGGUUUACGACCUCGAUGUUGGAUCAGGGCAUCCCAGUGGUGCAGCCGCUACUAAAGGUUCGUUUGUUCAACGAUUAAAGC
Molecule: ribosomal RNA, 575 nt
Filed under: Xenopus allofraseri (false Fraser's clawed frog)
Lineage: Eukaryota; Metazoa; Chordata; Amphibia; Anura; Pipidae
Description: partial 16S ribosomal RNA
Rfam family: Bacterial large subunit ribosomal RNA
Source: RNAcentral